This 250-nucleotide ribosomal RNA is filed under the name uncultured bacterium. RNAcentral describes it as "partial 16S ribosomal RNA". It matches the Rfam family "Bacterial small subunit ribosomal RNA", at positions 524 to 773 of the family's 1533-position model. The record is from RNAcentral.
UACGGAGGGUGCAAGCGUUGUUCGGAAUCACUGGGCGUAAAGAGCGCGUAGGCGGUUUUGUAAGUUAAGGGUGAAAUCCCCGAGCUCAACUUGGGAAUGGCUCUUAAAACUGCAGAACUAGAGUAUAUUAGAGGCAGGCAGAAUUCUUGGUGUAGAGGUGAAAUUCGUAGAUAUCAAGAGGAAUACCGGAGGCGAAGGCGGCCUGCUGGGAUAUUACUGACGCUGAGGCGCGAAAGCAUGGGUAGCAAAC